AAUCUUCCGCAAUGGACGACAGUCUGACGGAGCAACGCCGCUUGAGUGAUGAAGGUUUUCGGUUCGUAAAACUCUGUUGUUAGGAAAGAACAAGUAUCGGAGUCACUGCUGGUACCUUGACGGUACCUAACGAGAAAGCCACGGCUAACUACGUGCCAGCAGCCGCGGUAAUACGUAGGUGGCAAGCGUUUUCCGGAUUUAUUGGGCGUAAAGCGAGCGCAGGCGGUCCUUUAAGUCCGAUGUGAAAGCCCACGGCUCAACCGUGGAGGGUCAUUGGAAACUGGAGGACUUGAGUACAGAAGAGGAAAGCGGAAUUCCACGUGUAGCGGUGAAAUGCGUAGAGAUGUGGAGGAACACCAGUGGCGAAGGCGGCUUUCUGGUCUGUAACUGACGCUGAGGCGCGAAGGCGUGGGGAGCAAACA
This 422-nucleotide ribosomal RNA is filed under the name uncultured bacterium. RNAcentral's name for it is "partial 16S ribosomal RNA". It matches the Rfam family "Bacterial small subunit ribosomal RNA", at positions 360 to 774 of the family's 1533-position model. The record is from RNAcentral.